RNAcentral lists this ribosomal RNA (253 nucleotides) under uncultured bacterium. RNAcentral describes it as "partial 16S ribosomal RNA". It matches the Rfam family "Bacterial small subunit ribosomal RNA", at positions 524 to 776 of the family's 1533-position model. The record is from RNAcentral.
UACGGAGGGGGAGAGGGUUGUUCGGAAUCACUGGGCGUAAAGCGCACGCAGGCGGAUCGAUAAGUCGGGGGUGAAAGCCCGGGGCUCAACCUCGGAAUUGCCUUCGAUACUGUCGGUCUCGAGUCCGGGAGAGGUGAGUGGAAUUCCUAGUGUAGAGGUGAAAUUCGUAGAUAUUAGGAAGAACACCAGUGGCGAAGGCGGCUCACUAGCCCGGUACUGACGCUCAGGUGCGAAAGCGUGGGGAGCAAACAGG